UAAAAGGGUAUAAAAAGCGAAGAUGAAAGGC
Molecule: non-coding RNA, 31 nt
Filed under: Mus musculus (house mouse)
Lineage: Eukaryota; Metazoa; Chordata; Mammalia; Rodentia; Muridae
Source: RNAcentral